RNA transcript from Vigna unguiculata (cowpea), 2815 nucleotides. It is a transcript of the gene named splicing endonuclease 1, with no coding region annotated. Lineage: Eukaryota; Viridiplantae; Streptophyta; Magnoliopsida; Fabales; Fabaceae. The record is from RefSeq and is a predicted model, not a curated record.
UUGUGUUUGUCAUAUGCGUCUCUAAGUCUGAAUUAAUUCCUUUGCUUUCGAUUAGGCUUUUUGAAUAUAUCAUAUGUCUGAUUGAUCCUUAUUUUUACUGGUACGUUGCUUUAGUUCUUCCAUUUGUGCCAAUUCAUAUUCUCAUAUAAUGAAUCCAGAAAUGAAGAACAAAUAGAACAGAUAGCGGAGAGUCAGGUAGAAGAAGACAAGAAACUAAAUUAGUUAAGAUACAAAAUUUCCCUUCUUGUGUUAGAAGCACAAUUGCAAAUGAUACAUAGAACCCAAACCAGUGGAAUCACUCAUGUUCUCUAUAAUUUCAUUUAUGUUCUACACCUAAUUCAGAAAAACCAGAAAUAAAUCCUUCUACAUUCAGCCAGCUUCGUCAUUUAUCCUCACCAUCUUCAAUCAUUCUUCUGUUUAAUUUUUCACAACCAAACACUACAAUCAGAAAAAUCCAAUUGAAGAGGAUGUAGAAGAAUGUGUGGAGAAAGAGGAGCAAUGGCAUACUAGUAAUAUUUCUGGCCAACGUCGCACCUGAUAGUUGCGCCGGUGGUGGCAUCGCGGCUUCGAUUGAAGGGAGACCGGUGAAGUUCGCGAUGCUGGUGGCUCGCCGGUGGUAGUCUUGAUUAGGCUUAGGGUGCAUAGCACCGAGCGACGACUAUGCCUCCUAUCGACCUCCCGUAUGGAAGUCGUUCAACGAUACAAGGGCAGAGUCGUCACUAGCAAUGCCACCGGUGAGUUGGUUGAGCGAGGGAAGCCAAGGCUGGCGGUGACUGGCGUUCUGCAGAAGAGGAUAAAGAAGUGGAGAGUGAAUCCACGCGGUAACGCUGACACCGGUGAUGUCAUUGCUACCGGCGGUGGCUUUUGCACAACAGCGACGUGGCCCUGACGGCGACGGCACAUCCAUGCGAUAGGUUGAUUUGGAUGAAGGCUAGGGCUGGUGCGUUCUGCAGAAAUGUGGAAGAUGAAGCAUCUAGUCCAAAUGGCACCAAGAUGGAAAGGAAAAGAUGCAAAAGCUAAAAAGGACGCAGAAGCAGAGGCGCUCGAGGAACCCAUGUCAAAGAUUGUAUCUGAACUCAAGUCUUCUCUAGUUCAAUCAGAUACUUGUGGAUUUCUCUCUGAUAACAGUGUACAGUUAGCAGUGGGAGCAGAGCAACUUGAUCUGCUUGAUAAAGCAUGCUUUGGUCGACCUGUGAGAACAAUUGAAAAGGACAAACACUGGUUUCAAUUAAGUUUCGAGGAGGCAUUCUACCUAUGCUAUUCCUUGAAAUGCCUUAAGAUUAAUGGCAGUGGUACUGGUCCCCAUAAUGAUGAAGAACUGUGGCAUUACAUGAAGUCGAAGAAAGAUACAUUCCCUUGUUUCUACAAGGCUUAUUCCCACCUUCGAAUGAAAAACUGGGUUGUGAGGUCAGGAUCUCAGUACGGUGUAGACUUUGUUAUCUAUCGCCACCAUCCAUCUCGGGUCCAUUCUGAGUAUGGUGUGCUUGUUUUAUCAGAUGGGGAAGAUAAAGAUCUGAAUGGAAGACUGAGAGUAUGGUCUGAUGUUCAUUGCACAACUCGACUUGUUGGAAGUGUUGCAAAAAUCUUAUUGGUUCUACAUGUCAAUAAAGUUGGUAACAACGAGUCUCCAUUAUGUCUUGCAAACUAUACCGUUGAAGAGUGCACAAUCACCAGAUGGAGUCCAGAGCAGAACCGUGAAAAGAUGUAGAUCAUGCUAGCACUGAUAACAGAAACGAGUAAUACUGGACACACAUGUUUUCAACGCAAGUCUUGCAAACUUUUCACGUCAUAUUUAGAGCUGAACACAGAACAUAAGCUACUCUGAGUAGCUUAGACUGAAGUGGAUUUUAAUGUUGGCAAAUGUUUUUCUCAGCAUGUAAAAUACUGUCAAAUAUGAUGGAGUCCUCAAGAUGCGGGUAUGCAGAACCUAAUCCUCGUCUGGCUUGAAUCUAAUGUUGAGGCAGACUCUGAACGUCUUGUGAGUGCUCGAGUUAAUGGAACUUGGUAGAGAAAGAGCUUAAGUCCAUUAAGGGAAGCUAGUUGGUUUGUUUUUCAUUUGUGAGAUUGGCCGAUUCUUUCGCGGUUCAUUGUUUGUUCCAAUUUUGGGUUUUAUUGUUUGCUCGAAACCCAUUCUUCACUUCGUCUAUUUUCUAUUCAUCUUCCACUUAUCUACUAUACACGAAACGCGAAGUCCACGACGAAGAACGCGAGAGUGAGAACAACACAAGCAUCCGCGACGAGCUAACUAACGACGACGACGGUCACCCGUGGGCCACCGCGGUCCGAGAGCCAGCGGUGAAGCUAACUAGGUGGCGACGAUCACCCUCGGCGGCGUCGCACUCCCACGGCAGCGACGUAACAGGUGCGCUCCCUUCCCUUCCCAAUUUAUGCUGUGUGUGUGUGGUGCGUUCCCUUUCCAAUUGAUAUUAUUUCAUUUCCUUUCUUUUGUUUUGUUUGAUUAUAUGUGUGUAUUUUCAGCUUCCCUUCGAAAUAUAUGAUUUUAGUUUGAACUGCAGUGUAUCCUCAUUCUAUUCCAGGUUGAACAGUAAUGAACCAAAAUUUUAACAAGUUUAUGGCAGAUUUGUGUGUAACGGAUAUGAAUAGAAUACUUGAAAUGUAUACUGGAUUUGAGGUAAUAUCGAAAUUGGUUGAUGUAGGAGGUGGAAAUGGACAAAACCUCAAAAUGAUAAUCUCCAAAUGCCCUUCAAUUAAAGGACUUAAUUUUAUCUCCCAAAGUGAUUGAGAAUGCCUGAUAUAUUUAAUGUUUUAUCAUAUAUAUAUAUAUAUCAAAGGGUUAGUAUAAUGAUAUAAGUUC